CGAUAGUGGUCGAGUCUCCCAGGACUGCGCGGCGCGCUCUCAGAAGGAUGCGCCUGCGCAUUGUGCUGGUCUCCAUGGCAGGGCCUCGGAGCCAAGACGAGAAGAAAUGCUGCUGUGAAGACACAAUUAUGGCUCUCACACAAAUGAAGCCACAACUGUCAUGAUUUAGUGCCCCUCAAAGGAAGAACUUGAGUGGACAAGAGAGGGCAUUUCUGGGACUAGUAAAAUGUUUGAGGCCUGAGUUUAUACUUGAGCUACUACCUGAAGCUAUUAACUAAUAGAAGAAAAUGGAAUUGAAUAUACCAGCAUGGAACAAUCUAACGAUUCCCUAAGAGUCAACCAUAAUGAUUCUGAAGAAUCAAAAACAGAUUCUCAAGUAUAUGAGCAUCUAACCUGCAUGGACUCCAGGGAUCCUUCCUUUGGACAGAAUGGUUCUCCUAGAGUUUUACCCAUCGCCUCUCAUGAAGCAGAUAAUUCACUCACAUCACAGAAUAUACCAGGGCAGACACAGACUCUUUCUGCAGAACAAUUCCAUCUAGUGGACCAAAAUAAGCAACCUAUUCAAUAUGAACUCCAGUCAUUGGGGGAUUCUAAUGCACAAAUGAUGAUUGUUGCCAACCCCUCAGAAAAUGGACAGGUGCUGCAUGUAAUUCCAUCUACACAGACAGGAAUGGCACAAGUGAUUGUACCUCAGGGGCAGCUUGUGGAUGUGAAUAGUCCUCAGGAUGUCUCUGAAGAGAAGUCCAAUGAUAGAAAUGUACCAACUGUAAGAGUGGAUGUUCUAGCAGAUAAUACCAGUAGUUACACUCUUCAUCCACAAGCAUCUGUCACAUUGCCCAAAAAGACAGUGGCCAGAAUGCUUGAAGAACCCUUUCUGGCUCCUCUCCAGCCACUUUCUUCUAACACACCUAUGUGGGCCUGCCGUCUUAGGAGCUGUGAGAAAAUUGGAGAUUCAUACCGUGGCUACUGUGUAAGUGAGACCGAAUUAGAAAGUGUUCUAACAUUUCAUAAGCAGCAAACACAGAGUGUUUGGGGGACCCGCCAAUCUCCAAGUCCAGCCAAGCCAGCUACACGCUUGAUGUGGAAAUCUCAGUAUGUCCCAUAUGAUGGAAUCCCAUUUGUUAAUGCAGGGAGUAGAGCCGUGGUAAUGGAGUGCCAGUAUGGGCCAAGGAGAAAAGGUUUCCAGUUAAAAAAAAUCAGUGAGCAGGAGAGCAGGUCUUGUCAGCUCUACAAAGCCACUUGUCCAGCCCGGAUUUACAUUAAAAAGGUACAGAAGUUUCCUGAAUAUAGAGUUCCUACAGACCCCAAAAUUGAUAGGAAAAUAAUCCGAAUGGAGCAGGAAAAAGCCUUUAACAUGUUAAAGAAGAACUUGGUAGAUGCUGGUGGUGUUCUUAGGUGGUAUGUACAGUUACCUACAAAGCAAGCCCAUCAGUACCAUGAAUUAGAGACUUCCUGCCUCCCUUUGCCACCUUCCCCUUUUCCUGUGUCUUCUCUUGAAGAAGAGGGAACUGCAAUUAGGGAUGAGAACUGUGCAUUACCCUCACGUCUACAUCCCCAAGUAGCACACAAGAUUCAAGAAUUAGUGUCACAGGGAAUAGAACAAGUAUAUACAGUAAGGAAACAGCUAAGAAAAUUUGUAGAAAGAGAACUAUUUAAACCUGAUGAAGUACCUGAGAGACAUAAUUUAUCCUUUUUUCCAACUGUAAAUGAUAUUAAAAAUCACAUCCAUGAGGUACAGAAAUCCUUGAGAAAUGGAGAUAAUGUGUAUAACUCAGAGAUUAUUCCAGCAACGCUUCAGUGGACUGCAGAUAAUGGGCAUAUUCUCAGAGAGACUGUGACAGUUACAUUUGCAGAAGGAAAUUCACCGGGGGAAUCAAUUAACACCAAAAUGGAAACAAAUCAGACAAGGGGUUCUUUGUCUCCAGAGCCGGCCCACUUGCUUUCUUCACUUUCCUCAUUUCAACCAAAAGUAUUUACACAAUUACAGGGUUUGCAGUUGCAACCAAGAUUCACUUCUCCUGAUGGACCAUCGGCUGUGAUAUCAGUAAAUAACCACCCUUCCUCCAGUCCUUCAAGACUUCUGGAUUCAUUAGAAAGUACUGUACUGAAUAAUAAUUCUCUGCUGCUUGGUCAAAGUCAUAGUCUUCAAACAGAUACAUGCCUAACCCCAAACAGUAGCAUUAUUGCUUCUACCAUGACUAGCCUUCCAGGACCAGAUCAAAAUUUGGCUGCAAUGGACCAGCUGGUGGAAGUUGGAGAUGUUGAGGAUGCAGAGAAUAUGGAAGGAGGUGUUCACCGGAUUCUGCUGGGAAAUGGGCAGACCAUCCCAAUACAGAUUAUAGAUAGCCACCCAGCUCUUAUUGAAGAAAAUCCAGAAGGUACCAUUUCUCUGAGCCAAGUUAAGCAAGAACCCAAAGAACCAGCAUUGUCUAUGGAAGCAAAAAAAAAUUUGGACUGUAAGAAAUUAUCUGCCACAUAAAUUAUUGAAGCUUUUCAGAAUUUAUAACUUGGGUAACUUCUGAUGUCAUAAAAAAGAAGGUGAAUAUUGUCAAAGUGCAGUAUUGUGAUAGAUGGACUAAAGACUAGUUCAAUGAGCAACUUUGAUUUAAAACUGAUAUGUUUGUUGCCAAGUCCAUAUUUUUGGAAGCUAUUUUACUGCUGUCAUUUUGUAUAAUUCUUAUGCUUUUUGAUUAUCUAAUGAGGCCAGUAUUUCAAAAGAUCAUCUGAAUUUAUUCAUGACAAUAUAGUCUGAACACAAAUAGUUACAUAACUCAUCUCUUGAAAAUAUCUAAUUUGGGUUCUGAAAAGACAAAAACAACAAAAAAUUGUGUGUGUGUGUGUGUGUGUGUGUGUGUGACUGUGUGUUGACUUUUUAUUUAAAAGUGAUAAAAGAACUUACUGCCUCUUUAAAGUUGUGAAGAAAUUCUUUACAUUAUAGCAGACAGGUGAGAGAUUAUUUGUAGUCUGUCACAUUAGGGAAGAUAAAACAGUCGUAAAUUUGAAUCAUAACAUGAAGCCCAGCAUUCUCAUUUGUGGAAACAGUAGUUGCAUUUUGGCUUCUUCCAUUAUAAUUUUUUAUACUUCAAACUACAAACCAAUAGCAUACUAAUGGUCAUCUAAUAGAAAUUUAAAGUGUCUUGGUAAGUACUUAUAAUUUUAACUUGAAUUAAUCAGAUAAAACACAGAAAUAAAUGUAUAUUGCAUGGAUUUAUAUAGUAUUGUAGGUAAAGCACUACUUAUGGAUAGGAAAAUGUAGAAAUUGAGAGAAUUCAGAAAAAAUAACAGACUUCCCCUGGUGUUUACAGAUGAUUUGGGGGACUUUUUGGUAUCAGCAGGGGAUUUUUUUUUUUUCCUAUUUUGUAUUGAAGAUUCAGCUCUGGUUGGAAAACAAUUUGAGUUGUAUUUAUUUUUCUAUGCCAGAGUUCUUACUGAAUUGGUGGUAUUAGAAUUUAUGCUAUUUCAAGGUAAGUAUUUGUAGUUAAAAAAUUAGUUCAUAUUUAACACUUUAAAACAGCCGAUGUGUAUGUAUAUUUACUUGUUGAGUAAGUAUAUUUACUUGAAAUACUGAAUAAGUACUGAUCACUAUAUUCAUUGUAAGCUUCUGUUUUCUGAAAGGUUGGCAAACUAGAAAUGUCAAUUAUAAACUGUCAAGAAAUCAACAUAAAGGCUUUUUUUUACCCCAGGGACCAUGUGUGGGUAUAUUUAAGCCUUUAUUUUAAAAUAAUAAGGAUUUCAAAUGGAUAUGAAUAUUUAAUAUUCAAAGGAUAUGAGAUAUAAUAUGAAAUUUAACCUUAAUAUUUUACAUGAAUAUGAGUCAUUUUUAGCUUUUCUAAAUCCAGUCUCCCAUUCUUAAUUCAUUUUAAUUGUCGCAGGUACAUAUGUAUCUAAGUAUAAAGCAUUGUUAUAUUAGAAGUGAGUAGAACUUUAAUAAAAACAUCUUGCUCUUUAGAUUUAUACCCUAUUUAAUAUAAAAUGUAUUAUUUAUGCCCCUAUUUAAUACAAAGUUAAUAUUUAAUUACAUAUAUGAUUUUUAGUUAGAAUAGCUAACUGUUCUAAGAACUGAAAAUAUUUGAUGUCAGCAUUUUAGAGGCAGGCUGCCAAAUCUGAUUAUGUUACUCUAAGUUAAACACAGCUCUUAAUUACCUCAAACCCAGAUUCCUCUUAGUCUGUGUGUACUUAAAGGGUAUAAGUCUAAAUUUAUAUUUUAGUGUUACAUUGUAGAUAACAUUCUUUUCAUUUGUUAUUUCCAGUUUAUGGAAACUGUUUUCAAGAUUUUAAGUAAUCUUCACUUUUUAUUAAUGGCAAUAGCUUAUUAAAUAUUUUACCAAUUUAACUAUGUUCCUUUGGAGACAUUCUUUUCUUUUUUGAUGUUGAGUUGUUAAGGAGAAAUGCUUGUUAAGAUACAAACUCUAGUGAAUUACCUAUGAGAAUGAGAGAUGUUAGAGGAUUCAGACUUUGGCACUUAACAAAACACAGUUUUAACAAAACACAGUUAAAAAAUAUUUCUCUCACUUCAUUCUAUGUGAAUGUCUCUCUGGUACCCAUUUUUAUUUUUGUUUUUAUGAGGACAGAAAGUUACAGUGCAUCCACCUCACAAACAAAAAGCAAAAUUAAAAAAGAGCAUGAAGGAAGGUUUCAGUCCCUAAUUGUAUACUCUUUUGGUUUUUAGGUAGAAACUGGAACUAUCAAUAUUUUCAUGUUAUUUUGGAGGUAUUUUAAAGGAGCCAGCAUUUGACGGUCUUGGAGUUCUAAUCAAAACUGGUCAUCUUGGGAACAGCAUGCUUUUAUGAGGCGUUUUGAGCCUCCUGCACAGGGUCUCUCCUAUGGCAAUGGUGAGAAAUCUGCAUUAUUACUGUCAACACUACUGUUUGUCCUUGUCAUUUCUUCGUUGCGGAUCUAUGAGAGGAAGUGCACACGGACAAAGAUGGGUGCACACUUGCGGGUUCAGAAGGUUUCUCUUCAGACUGCCAUCCUUUGGAAAAACUGUCUCAAGUCAUUUAUGAAAGUUUUAUGAGAAUUUUGCCCACUCUUUUUUGUUUUGUCCAUGAAAGCCUGAUUCUCUUUAGGAGGGAGUCCCCAAGAUUCAAGACUCACAUUUGGCUAAGUGUUGCCAGACUCAUGGGUUUAUCUUUAGUUUGGUUCUGCAGCCAUUCUGGACUGGACUCCUGCAUCUUAAAUGUAUUUAUGCUAGAAUCAAAAUGUGUCUUGUUUGCUUUCUAAAUGAUAAAAAGAAUUAUUUGGAAUUAUACUUGGUUUAUAAUUACAUAUACAUAUAUAUAAUUACAUACAGUUAUAUAAUUAUAAUUGGUUAUAAUCAGGGAAACUUUUGAUAUAAACAAAACUGUUCCAUUUGGGGAGGUACUUUGAAGCAAAAAGAAAGCAAUAUCCCAAACACACACAUUUUAAGGCAAGAGGAAAAUUCCAAAAUAUAUUGAAGGGAUUGUGAAAUUGCGUCCUUAAAAGAUUCUUUGGCAAAGGCAAGAGAAAAUUUUGAAAAAUUUAAAACUGUCUUUUCUAAAUCCUUUCAAACCACAAUUUGACCAUGAUGUCCUUUAUUCUUCUAUCCACUUCUUUGUCCCGUGUUCCUCCAUGUCCCUCUGUCCUGUCUCUCCUUCUGACUUUUUUUCCUUCCCUUCAAAAUGCCCCAUAAAGAGUUUUACUACUCUAAAAGAGAAAGAUCACUUUAAUAUAAGAAAUACCCCUCUCAUUUUUAUACUUAAGGUAUUAACAAUUAUUGGCAUUUUUAUCAUAUAAAAUCAAAUUAUCAAGGGGCCUCAAUUACAGUUUAAACCAGUGGUAAUGACUGAUUCCCCUCCCUCAUCCUCUCUUGUGUGCAUGUAUGUCAAAAUAGGUUUUCCUGCAUCUAAACUUUCCCCUCGCUUUAAUUAAGCAGAGAUAAUUAGUCUUUUAUAGUGAUAAUUUUGUAUUUGACUAAAGCUGGCCACUCUCGUUUUUAAUUUCUAUUCCUCUUCUUUUCCCUCCCUAGGGAAACAUUAAAGAUUAAUUGAUGAAAACAAUUAUUCUCUCAUUACGUGUACAGUCCAGGAAUGUCUAGUAAAGAAUUUCUAAAAUAGAAAAAUCGUUAAACUGUGUUGUGCUUCUGUUUCUUCAAAAUUGCUUUUAAGAGAUAUUUCUGGUUAAAACUACAGGAAAAGAGACACUUGGGUGGCUCUGUCACUUGAGCAUAGACUCUUAAUUUUGGCUUAGGUCAUGAUCUUAGGGUCAUGAGACAGAACCCUACACUGGGCUCCAUGUUCAGCACAGAGUCCGCUUGUCUCCCUCUACUCCUCCCCGUGCUCGCUCACCCUCUCUCUCUCUGUGUCUCUUGCUAAAAUAAUAAAUGAAGUCUUUAAAAACUGCAAGAAAAGAAGAAAAAAACCUUGAUUCCAAAAUGAAGGGCUUUGAGGCAGGAUUUAAAAGAGUUUUUAUAAUUUCAUUUAUGAAUACAAAGUUUAUAUGUCAUGCAGAAAAUGUUCAUAAGAUAUUCCUGAUAGAGGAAUCAUUGGACAAAUUAGAAUGAGUUAAUCACACUGGUUUAAAGGAUUAAAAAACAAUUAUCUUCCUAACUUUAAAAAGUCACAUUAAUGAAAAAAAAAGUCACAUUAAUGCCAACAGGAUAUGCUAAUUUAUAUAAGAAGAUUGAACAUCUCAUAAUUUAAACUUUAUAUAAUUUCUUGCAUUGGAUUUAUGGGACAAAUUAUUUUCAUUUCUACAAAUUAUUUAUGCUUACAAAAAUUUAGAAUCAUGAUUAACUAGAUAAAAUUGUAAUGAUAGGUAUCUUCUAAAAGUUUAUAAUCUUAUUUCUACAAUAUCAAAAUUUUUUUUUAAAAUAUUUUAUUUAUUUAUUUGACAGACAGUGAUUCCAAGUAGGCAGAGAGGCAGAGAAAGAGAAAGGAGGAAGCAGGCUCCCUGCUGAGCAGAGAGCCCGAUGUAGGGCUCAAUCCCAGGACCCUGGGAUCAUGACCCAAGCCGAAGGCAGAGGC
Mustela lutreola (European mink) is the source of this 6983-nucleotide RNA transcript. It is a transcript of the gene named calcium responsive transcription factor, with no coding region annotated. NCBI's taxonomy places the organism in Eukaryota, Metazoa, Chordata, Mammalia, Carnivora, Mustelidae. The transcript has 18 exons. The record is from RefSeq and is a predicted model, not a curated record.